RNAcentral lists this ribosomal RNA (237 nucleotides) under uncultured Lactobacillus sp. RNAcentral's name for it is "partial 16S ribosomal RNA". It matches the Rfam family "Bacterial small subunit ribosomal RNA", at positions 125 to 356 of the family's 1533-position model. Lineage: Bacteria; Bacillati; Bacillota; Bacilli; Lactobacillales; Lactobacillaceae. The record is from RNAcentral.
CCUGCCCAAGAGAUCGGGAUAACACCUGGAAACAGAUGCUAAUACCGGAUAACAACAGAUGAUGCCUAUCAACUGUUUAAAAGAUGGUUCUGCUAUCACUCUUGGAUGGACCUGCGGUGCAUUAGCUAGUUGGUAGGGUAACGGCUUACCAAGGCGAUGAUGCAUAGCCGAGUUGAGAGACUGAUCGGCCACAUUGGGACUGAGACACGGCCCAAACUCCUACGGGAGGCAGCAGCG